RNAcentral lists this transfer RNA (78 nucleotides) under bacterium. RNAcentral's name for it is "tRNA-Asp". It matches the Rfam family "tRNA". From Rfam's summary of the family: Transfer RNA (tRNA) molecules are approximately 80 nucleotides in length. Their secondary structure includes four short double-helical elements and three loops (D, anti-codon, and T loops). The record is from RNAcentral. RNAcentral also lists the same sequence under 1 other name.
GGGGACGUAGUUCAGUUUGGUUAGAACGUCAGAUUGUCGAUCUGAAGGUCGCGGGUUCGACCCCCGUCGUCCCCGCCA